RNAcentral lists this transfer RNA (67 nucleotides) under Anacestra spiniger. Its description in RNAcentral is "tRNA-Val". The record is from RNAcentral. Lineage: Eukaryota; Metazoa; Arthropoda; Insecta; Hemiptera; Alydidae.
UGGAUUAUAUUUAGCGAUUAAGGUUAUUUACAAUAAUUUUAUAGAUGUGCAAUUCAUCUUAAUCUGA